Molecule: long non-coding RNA, 899 nt
Organism: Herpailurus yagouaroundi (jaguarundi)
Lineage: Eukaryota; Metazoa; Chordata; Mammalia; Carnivora; Felidae
Exons: 2
Source: RefSeq, a predicted model, not a curated record
ACAACCAGGUGUGAACCAGGGGCCCCGGGGAUGCCAAGGACUGAAGAUGCAAACGCACAUAUGCACCCGUGCACACGGGUGCAUAUGUUCAUUUCCCUUCCAGCCCUGGAAACAGCAGUCUACGGGGGAAGCCACGCCGACCUGGCCACGGAACGUAUAUGCGUGCACGCCCAAUGAGGUGUAAGACACUUCGCCUUUCUGCACACACGACUUCAUUUAUCCUCACUGUGAAAGUGCCUUAAACACACAAGUCUCAAGUGUCCUGACAUGACAAUGAGGACAACACCUCCAUUCCAGCAAGACUUCACGAUCCAUAGAUUAGACUAUCUUCCCAGAACCAGAGCACAAUCGGACAUCUCCAUCAAUGUGGAGUGAGCUACGCAGUAUCGUAGAAGCCAAGAGAGAGGGUUUGGCCACCUAGGGUCGGUGGGACCUCUGGGACCACCCAGACCAACCCCCACAUCCUCUCUCUGAGGGUGGCACGCACCUCGUUCCUAUUUCACAGACUGGAAAUCGAGGCUCACGGAGGUUCUGCCCUGUUCAAGGAAGCACACGUACCGAAUGGAAAAUUGGCCACGGAGAUGCAGAUGUGCCCACAUCACGUAUCAGUGAUGCGGGAGUAAAUACACGUGAGAGUCUGGAACGUGGAUGAAGGAUGAUACGGUCCAUAUUUUUUUCUAUUUCAUUGCAGAGUGCUAGAGGGAGAGGUGGGUCCUCACCGCUGUGGUCUUGUCCUUGGUCAUGGAUUCUUUUCUUGGGGAAAUCUUCAAUGCCAAGUAACUACGAAGCCUCCUCUCCCAAAUGUGAUUCCACUCUCAACCCCAUCCUGCAUUUUACCGAGCAUCUUGGGCCGAAAAAAAAUUAAAUAAAUAAUGAUAGAAGUCCAUUUGACUUCAGCA